GACGAACGCUGGCGGCGUGCCUAAUACAUGCAAGUUGAGCGCUGAAGGUUGGUACUUGUACCAACUGGAUGAGCAGCGAACGGGUGAGUAACGCGUGGGGAAUCUGCCUUUGAGCGGGGGACAACAUUUGGAAACGAAUGCUAAUACCGCAUAAAAACUUUAAACACAAGUUUUAAGUUUGAAAGAUGCAAUUGCAUCACUCAAAGAUGAUCCCGCGUUGUAUUAGCUAGUUGGUGAGGUAAAGGCUCACCAAGGCGAUGAUACAUAGCCGACCUGAGAGGGUGAUCGGCCACAUUGGGACUGAGACACGGCCCAAACUCCUACGGGAGGCAGCAGUAGGGAACCUUCGGCAAUGGACGAAAGUCUGACCGAGCAACGCCGCGUGAGUGAAGAAGGUUUUCGGAUCGUAAAACUCUGUUGGUAGAGAAGAACGUUGGUGAGAGUGGAAAGCUCAUCAAGUGACGGUAACUACCCAGUAAGGGACGGCUAACUACGUG
RNAcentral lists this ribosomal RNA (497 nucleotides) under uncultured bacterium. RNAcentral describes it as "partial 16S ribosomal RNA". It matches the Rfam family "Bacterial small subunit ribosomal RNA", at positions 28 to 507 of the family's 1533-position model. The record is from RNAcentral.